AGCAUAUCAAUAAGCGGAGGAAAAGAAACCAACAGGGAUUGCCUCAGUAACGGCGAGUGAAGCGGCAGCAGCUCAAAUUUGAAAUCUGGCUCUUUCAGAGUCCGAGUUGUAAUUUGUAGAGGAUGCUUCGGCGUAGGCCCCGCCCAAAGUUCCUUGGAACGGGACGUCAUAGAGGGUGAGAACCCCGUGUCUAGGCGGACGUCUUUGCCAUGUGAAGCUCCUUCGACGAGUCGAGUUGUUUGGGAAUGCAGCUCAAAAUGGGAGGUAAAUUUCUUCCAAAGCUAAAUACCGGCCGGAGACCGAUAGUGCACAAGUAGAGUGAUCGAAAGAUGAAAAGCACUUUGGAAAGAGAGUCAAACAGCGCGUGAAAUUGUUAAAAGGGAAGCGCUUGCGGCCAGACUUGGCCGCGGUUGUUCGGCGGGGCUUCUGCCCCGUUUACUCUUCCGCGGCCGGGCCAGCAUCGACUUGGGCGGCUGGAUAAAGAUCGCGGGAACGUGGCUCCCUCCGGGGAGUGUUAUAGCCCGUGGUGUAAUGCAGCCUGCCUGGGUCGAGGUCUGCGCAUCUGCUAGGAUGCUGGCGUAAUGGCCCCAAGCGGCCCGUCUUGAAACACGGACCAAGGAGUCUAACAUUCGUGCGAGUGUUCGGGCGUGAAAACCCGUGCGCGUAAUGAAAGUGAACGGAGGUGGGAACCCUCACGGGUGCACCAUCGACCGAUCCUGAUGUCUUCGGAUGGAUUUGAGUAUGAGCACGUAUGUUGGGACCCGAAAGAUGGUGAACUAUGCCUAAGCAGGGCGAAGCCAGAGGAAACUCUGGUGGAGGCUCGCAGCGGUUCUGACGUGCAAAUCGAUCGUCAAAUUUGGGUAUAGGGGCGAAAGACUAAUCGAACCAUCUAGUAGCUGGUUCCUGCGA
Molecule: ribosomal RNA, 909 nt
Filed under: Arxiella terrestris
Lineage: Eukaryota; Fungi; Ascomycota; Dothideomycetes; Muyocopronales; Muyocopronaceae
Description: LSU rRNA
Rfam family: Eukaryotic large subunit ribosomal RNA
Source: RNAcentral